This 484-nucleotide ribosomal RNA is filed under the name uncultured bacterium. RNAcentral describes it as "bacterial SSU rRNA". It matches the Rfam family "Bacterial small subunit ribosomal RNA", at positions 30 to 507 of the family's 1533-position model. The record is from RNAcentral.
AUUGAACGCUGGCGGAAUGCUUUACACAUGCAAGUCGAACGGCAGCACGGGGGCAACCCUGGUGGCGAGUGGCGAACGGGUGAGUAAUGUAUCGGAACGUGCCCAGUCGUGGGGGAUAACGUAGUGAAAAUUACGCUAAUACCGCAUACGAUCUACGGAUGAAAGCGGGGGAUCGCAAGACCUCGCGCGAUUGGAGCGGCCGAUAUCAGAUUAGGUAGUUGGUGGGGUAAAGGCUCACCAAGCCGACGAUCUGUAGCUGGUCUGAGAGGACGACCAGCCACACUGGAACUGAGACACGGUCCAGACUCCUACGGGAGGCAGCAGUGGGGAAUUUUGGACAAUGGGCGCAAGCCUGAUCCAGCCAUUCCGCGUGCAGGAUGAAGGCCCUCGGGUUGUAAACUGCUUUUGUACGGAGCGAAAAGGCUCUCUCUAAUACAGGGGGCUCAUGACGGUACCGUAAGAAUAAGCACCGGCUAACUACGUG